Impatiens glandulifera is the source of this 321-nucleotide long non-coding RNA. RefSeq lists it as uncharacterized. The record is from RefSeq and is a predicted model, not a curated record. The transcript has 3 exons. NCBI's taxonomy places the organism in Eukaryota, Viridiplantae, Streptophyta, Magnoliopsida, Ericales, Balsaminaceae.
UGUAAGGUACAUGAUGCUUUUCUAGGUGUCAACGGUGUAUUGCUCUCUUUGCUCAAGUGGAUGAAGUAGAUCCAAUUUGUGUGUUGUAAGGAGGAUUCAUUUUCUAGGUGUCAACGGUGUAUUGCUCUCUUUGCUCAGGUUAAUGAAGUAGAUCCAAUUUGUGUGCUAUAAGGAGGAUUCAUUUUGAAGUGUAGAGUGGAAUGGAUGAAUUUUCUUCUAAAACUUUCUCAAUUGUCUUUCUUGAAAUUGGUCAUUUGGUUAAAACUAUAAAGUAAUUUCGAUUUUCUUUUUAUAGUAAGGAAAUAGUUGUGAUAUAAUUAC